This is a non-coding RNA of Triticum aestivum (bread wheat), 134 nucleotides long. Lineage: Eukaryota; Viridiplantae; Streptophyta; Magnoliopsida; Poales; Poaceae. The record is from Rfam.
AAAAUACUCCCUCCGUCCGAAAAUACUUGUCAUCAAAAUGGACAAAAAGGGAUGUAUCUAGAACUAAAAUAUAUCUAGACACAUCCCCAUUUAUUCAUUUUGAUGACAAGUCUUUCCGAACGGAGGAGUACUAC